Molecule: non-coding RNA, 87 nt
Organism: Thelephora terrestris
Lineage: Eukaryota; Fungi; Basidiomycota; Agaricomycetes; Thelephorales; Thelephoraceae
Source: the annotation of a GenBank genome assembly
UCCCGCUUAGCUCAGUGGUAGAGCGCGUCACUAGUACCCAGAGGUUACGAAAUGACGAGGUCAGUCGUUCAAGUCGGCUAGCGGGAA